AUACGGAGGAUCCGAGCGUUAUCCGGAUUUAUUGGGUUUAAAGGGUGCGCAGGCGGCCAUUUAAGUCAGCGGUUAAAUCGUGGGGCUCAACCCCAUUCUGCCGUUGAUACUGGAUGGCUUGAUUGCGGUCGAGGUUGGCGGAAUUCGUUGUGUAGCGGUGAAAUGCAUAGAUAUGACGAAGAACACCGAUUGCGUAGGCAGCUGACCAGACCGCAAAUGACGCUCAUGCACGAAAGUGCGGGGAUCGAACAGGAUUAGAUACCCUGGUAGUCCACGCUGUAAACGAUGAUUACUGGUUGUUAGCGAUAUAUAGCUAGUGACUGAGCGAAAGCAUUAAGUAAUCCACCUGGGGAGUACGGCGGCAACGAUGAAACUCAAAUGAAUUGACGGGG
RNAcentral lists this ribosomal RNA (392 nucleotides) under uncultured bacterium. RNAcentral describes it as "partial 16S ribosomal RNA". It matches the Rfam family "Bacterial small subunit ribosomal RNA", at positions 523 to 918 of the family's 1533-position model. The record is from RNAcentral.